This 397-nucleotide ribosomal RNA is filed under the name uncultured bacterium. Its description in RNAcentral is "partial 16S ribosomal RNA". It matches the Rfam family "Bacterial small subunit ribosomal RNA", at positions 338 to 732 of the family's 1533-position model. The record is from RNAcentral.
CCUACGGGUGGCAGCAGUGAGGAAUAUUGGUCAAUGGGCGGGAGCCUGAACCAGCCAAGUAGCGUGAAGGAUGACUGCCCUAUGGAUUGUAAACUUCUUUUAUAGGGGAAUAAAGGGGAGCACGUGUGCGUGUAUGAGUGUACCUUAUGAAUAAGCAUCGGCUAACUCCGUGCCAGCAGCCGCGGUAAUACGGAGGAUCCGAGCGUUAUCCGGAUUUAUUGGGUUUAAAGGGAGCGUAGGCGGGUCGUUAAGUCAGUGGUGAAAGUUUGCGGCUCAACCGUCAAAUUGCAGUUGAUACUGGCAGUCUUGAGUACAGUAGAGGUAGGCGGAAUUCGUGGUGUAGCGGUGAAAUGCUUAGAUAUCACGAAGAACUCCGAUUGCGAAGGCAGCAUACUGG